AUGAACGCUGGCGGCGUGCCUAAUACAUGCAAGUCGAGCGAACAGACGAGGAGCUUGCUCCUUCGACGUUAGCGGCGGACGGGUGAGUAACACGUAGGUAACCUACCUAUAAGACUGGGAUAACUUCAGGAAACCGGAGCUAAUACCGGAUAAUAUUUCGAACCGCAUGGUUCGAUAGUGAAAGAUGGCUUUGCUAUCACUUAUAGAUGGACCUGCGCCGUAUUAGCUAGUUGGUAAGGUAACGGCUUACCAAGGCAACGAUACGUAGCCGACCUGAGAGGGUGAUCGGCCACACUGGAACUGAGACACGGUCCAGACUCCUACGGGAGGCAGCAGUAGGGAAUCUUCCGCAAUGGGCGAAAGCCUGACGGAGCAACGCCGCGUGAGUGAUGAAGGUCUUCGGAUCGUAAAACUCUGUUAUUAGGGAAGAACAAACGUGUAAGUAACUGUGCACGUCUUGACGGUACCUAAUCAGAAAGCCACGGCUAACUACGUG
RNAcentral lists this ribosomal RNA (496 nucleotides) under uncultured bacterium. RNAcentral's name for it is "partial 16S ribosomal RNA". It matches the Rfam family "Bacterial small subunit ribosomal RNA", at positions 29 to 507 of the family's 1533-position model. The record is from RNAcentral.